CCUACGGGUGGCAGCAGUGAGGAAUAUUGGUCAAUGGGCGCAAGCCUGAACCAGCCAAGCCGCGUGAAGGAUGACGGCCCUAUGAGUUGUAAACUUCUUUUAUAAAGGAAUAAAGUGAGGUACGUGUGCCUUCUUGAAUGUAUUUUAUGAAUAAGGAUCGGCUAACUCCGUGCCAGCAGCCGCGGUAAUACGGAGGAUCCGAGCGUUAUCCGGAUUUAUUGGGUUUAAAGGGUGCGUAGGUGGGUUUUUAAGUCAGUUGUGAAAGUUUGCGGCUCAACCGUAAAAUUGCAAUUGAUACUGGCAGACUUGAGAACAGAUGAGGUAGGCGGAAUUCAUGGUGUAGCGGUGAAAUGCGUAGAGAUCACGCAGAACACCGAUUGCGAAGGCAGCUUACUAAACUGCCACUGACAUUGAUGCUCGAAAGUGUGGGUAGCAAACAGGAUUAGAUACCCCAGUAGUC
Molecule: ribosomal RNA, 460 nt
Filed under: uncultured bacterium
Lineage: Bacteria
Description: partial 16S ribosomal RNA
Rfam family: Bacterial small subunit ribosomal RNA
Source: RNAcentral